This 251-nucleotide long non-coding RNA is filed under the name Phoenix dactylifera (date palm). RNAcentral describes it as "long non-coding RNA (PDAC_LNC005197)". The record is from RNAcentral. Lineage: Eukaryota; Viridiplantae; Streptophyta; Magnoliopsida; Arecales; Arecaceae.
UUAGGGGUUAACUUAUGAUCUUCAAGGGUCGACUUCUUUUCUUUAGGAGUCGACUUGAGAAACUGCUCAUUUUUGCUACACUCUGUCUCUUGCAUUUGGUCACUUUUGAGGUCGACUCAACUAUUUUUGGGGUCAACUCGUGAUCCAUUAGGGUAGAUUCGUGAAAGGAUUAUUUUUGGCUGCCUUUUUGUUUCUGUCUACGGCCAUUCUGGGGUCGACUCAACUUGUGCUAGGUUGACUCAUGCUCGGCA